AUGAACGCUGGCGGCGUGCCUAAUACAUGCAAGUCGCGCGAACAGAUGAGGAGCUUGCUCCUCUGACGUUAGCGGCGGACGGGUGAGUAACACGUGGAUAACCUACCUAUAAGACUGGGAUAACUUCGGGAAACCGGAGCUAAUACCGGAUAAUAUAUUGAACCGCAUGGUUCAAUAGUGAAAGACGGUUUUGCUGUCACUUAUAGAUGGAUCCGCGCCGCAUUAGCUAGUUGGUAAGGUAACGGCUUACCAAGGCAACGAUGCGUAGCCGACCUGAGAGGGUGGUGGGAGGAAGGGGGACUGAGACACGGGGCAGAUAACGACGGGAGGCAGCAGGAGGGAAGAUGCGGCAAGGGAGGCAAGUCUGAGAGAGCAACGAUGAGGGAAUAAAAAAGGUGUUAGGAACUUAAAACGCUGUUGUGAGAGAAAAACAAGAAUGUAAGGAAAUGAACGUGCCAGGACGGUAGCUAAGCAGAAGGACACGGCGAGCGAAGGG
This 496-nucleotide ribosomal RNA is filed under the name uncultured bacterium. RNAcentral describes it as "partial 16S ribosomal RNA". It matches the Rfam family "Bacterial small subunit ribosomal RNA", at positions 30 to 507 of the family's 1533-position model. The record is from RNAcentral.